RNAcentral lists this small nucleolar RNA (132 nucleotides) under Castor canadensis (American beaver). RNAcentral's name for it is "Small nucleolar RNA SNORA51 (ENSCCNG00000011664.1)". It matches the Rfam family "Small nucleolar RNA SNORA51". From Rfam's summary of the family: ACA51 is a member of the H/ACA class of snoRNA that guide the sites of modification of uridines to pseudouridines. Lineage: Eukaryota; Metazoa; Chordata; Mammalia; Rodentia; Castoridae. The record is from Rfam by way of RNAcentral.
UGCCUCCUGGUACUUACCACAGGCUGUGUUUUUGCAUUGCCUGUAUAGAAAAAGGAGGCAAAGUAAACCUACCCCAUAUACACCUCAGCUUAUGCCCUGUGCCUGGUCUGAAUUAUGAAUGAUGAGUUGUGG